This 121-nucleotide small RNA is filed under the name Serratia marcescens. RNAcentral's name for it is "RtT sRNA". It matches the Rfam family "RtT RNA". Rfam says of the family: This family represents a bacterial cis-regulatory element known as RtT RNA. The record is from RNAcentral. Lineage: Bacteria; Pseudomonadati; Pseudomonadota; Gammaproteobacteria; Enterobacterales; Yersiniaceae.
AUAGCGCACCGACCGGGAGGGUGAGAACCCUCGACAGGGUUCGACAAAAACGCCUGCGUUUUGGACCGCCAACGGCGGCCCGCAGGGUGAGCGCAGCGAAUCUAUCCCUCCCUCACCGCCA